GCUCAACCGGGGAGGGUCAUUGGAAACUGGGGAACUUGAGUGCAGAAGAGGAGAAUGGAAUUCCACGUGUAGCGGUGAAAUGCGUAGAGAUGUGGAGGAACACCAGUGGCGAAGGCGACUCUCUGGUCUGUAACUGACGCUGAGGAGCGAAAGCGUGGGGAGCGAACAGGAUUAGAUACCCUGGUAGUCCACGCCGUAAACGAUGAGUGCUAAGUGUUAGGGGGUUUCCGCCCCUUAGUGCUGCAGCUAACGCAUUAAGCACUCCGCCUGGGGAGUACGGUCGCAAGACUGAAACUCAAAGGAAUUGACGGGGGCCCGCACAAGCGGUGGAGCAUGUGGUUUAAUUCGAAGCAACGCGAAGAACCUUACCAGGUCUUGACAUCCUCUGACAAUCCUAGAGAUAGGACGUCCCCUUCGGGGGCAGAGUGACAGGUGGUGCAUGGUUGUCGUCAGCUCGUGUCGUGAGAUGUUGGGUUAAGUCCCGCAACGAGCGCAACCCUUGAUCUUAGUUGCCAGCAUUCAGUUGGGCACUCUAAGGUGACUGCCGGUGACAAACCGGAGGAAGGUGGGGAUGACGUCAAAUCAUCAUGCCCCUUAUGGCCUGGGCUACACACGUGCUACAAUGGACAGAACAAAG
This 637-nucleotide ribosomal RNA is filed under the name uncultured bacterium. Its description in RNAcentral is "bacterial SSU rRNA". It matches the Rfam family "Bacterial small subunit ribosomal RNA", at positions 607 to 1244 of the family's 1533-position model. The record is from RNAcentral.